This 463-nucleotide ribosomal RNA is filed under the name uncultured Alphaproteobacteria bacterium. RNAcentral's name for it is "bacterial SSU rRNA". It matches the Rfam family "Bacterial small subunit ribosomal RNA", at positions 392 to 873 of the family's 1533-position model. The record is from RNAcentral. Lineage: Bacteria; Pseudomonadati; Pseudomonadota; Alphaproteobacteria.
CCAUGCCGCGUGUGUGAUGAAGGUCUUAGGAUCGUAAAGCACUUUCGCCAGGGAUGAUAAUGACAGUACCUGGUAAAGAAACCCCGGCUAACUCCGUGCCAGCAGSCGCGGUAAUACGGAGGGGGUUAGCGUUGUUCGGAAUUACUGGGCGUAAAGCGUACGUAGGCGGAUUGGAAAGUUGGGGGUGAAAUCCCAGGGCUCAACCCUGGAACUGCCUCCAAAMCUAUCAGUCUAGAGUUCGAGAGAGGUGAGUGGAAUUCCAAGUGUAGAGGUGAAAUUCGUAGAUAUUUGGAGGAACACCAGUGGCGAAGGCGGCUCACUGGCUCGAUACUGACGCUGAGGUACGAAAGUGUGGGGAGCAAACAGGAUUAGAUACCCUGGUAGUCCACACCGUAAACGAUGAAUGCCAGUCGUCGGGCAGUAUACUGUUCGGUGACACACCUAACGGAUUAAGCAUUCCGCC